RNAcentral lists this ribosomal RNA (460 nucleotides) under uncultured bacterium. RNAcentral describes it as "partial 16S ribosomal RNA". It matches the Rfam family "Bacterial small subunit ribosomal RNA", at positions 338 to 795 of the family's 1533-position model. The record is from RNAcentral.
CCUACGGGAGGCAGCAGUGAGGAAUAUUGGUCAAUGGGCGCGAGCCUGAACCAGCCAAGUAGCGUGAAGGAUGACUGCCCUACGGGUUGUAAACUUCUUUUAUAUAGGAAUAAAGUGAGGCACGUGUGCCUUUUUGUCUGUACUUUAUGAAUACGGAUCGGCUAACUCCGUGCCAGCAGCCGCGGUAAUACGGAGGCGCCGAGCGUUAUCCGGAUUUAUUGGGUUUAAAGGGAGCGUAGGUGGGUUGUUAAGUCAGUUGUGAAAGUUUGCGGCUCAACCGGAAAAUUGCAAGUGAGACUGGCAGUCUUGAGUACAGUAGAGGUAGGCGGAAUUCGUGGUGUAGCGGUGAAAUGCUUAGAUAUCAAGAAGAACUCCGAUUGCGAAGGCAGCUUACUAGACUGCCACUGACAUUGAUGCUCGAAAGUGUGGGGAUCAAACAGGAUUAGAUACCCUGGUAGUC